UGGGGAAUUUUGGACAAUGGGCGAAAGCCUGAUCCAGCCAUGCCGCGUGAGUGAAGAAGGCCUUCGGGUUGUAAAGCUCUUUUAGUCGGAAAGAAAGAGUAGCAAUGAAUAAUUGUGAUUUAUGACGGCACCGUCAGAAAAAGCACCGGCUAACUAAGUGCCAGCAGCCGCGGUAAUACGUAGGGUGCGAGCGUUAAUCGGAAUUACUGGGCGUAAAGGGUGCGCAGGCGGUGUUGCAAGUCUGAUGUGAAAACCCCGGGCUUAACCUGGGGAUUGCGUUUGAAACUACUUGGCUAGAGUGCAGCAGAGGGGAGUGGAAUUCCAUGUGUAGCAGUGAAAUGCGUAGAGAUGUGGAAGAACACCGAUGGCGAAGGCAGCUCCCUGGGUUGACACUGACGCUCAUGCACGAAAGCGUGGGGAGCAAACA
This 427-nucleotide ribosomal RNA is filed under the name uncultured beta proteobacterium. RNAcentral's name for it is "bacterial SSU rRNA". It matches the Rfam family "Bacterial small subunit ribosomal RNA", at positions 355 to 774 of the family's 1533-position model. Lineage: Bacteria; Pseudomonadati; Pseudomonadota; Betaproteobacteria. The record is from RNAcentral.